GACGAAGGGGGCGAGCGUUAUCCAUCAUGACUGGGCGUAAAGGGUCCGUAGGUGGGUUUUUUUUGCGGAAGGUGAAAUCAUAAAGCACAACUUUUAAAAGCCUUUUGAACAGAAAACAUUUGAAGUUGAUGGGAGAUAGUGGAAUUUCAUAUGUAGGGGUGAUAUCCAAGAACAUAUGAAGGAAUACCAGAGGCGAAGGCGACUAUCUAUUUCAAUCUUGACGCUGAGGGACGAAAGCAUGGGGAGCAAACAGG
This 254-nucleotide ribosomal RNA is filed under the name uncultured bacterium. RNAcentral's name for it is "partial 16S ribosomal RNA". It matches the Rfam family "Bacterial small subunit ribosomal RNA", at positions 524 to 776 of the family's 1533-position model. The record is from RNAcentral.